RNAcentral lists this ribosomal RNA (2923 nucleotides) under Sedimentibacter sp. MB35-C1. RNAcentral's name for it is "23S ribosomal RNA". It matches the Rfam family "Bacterial large subunit ribosomal RNA". The record is from RNAcentral. Lineage: Bacteria; Bacillati; Bacillota; Tissierellia. RNAcentral also lists the same sequence under 1 other name.
GGUCAAGAUAGAAAGGGCUAAGGGCGAAUGCCUUGGCACUGGGAGCCGAAGAAGGACGUGGCAAACUACGAAAUGCUGCGGGGAGGCGUAAGCAGCCGAUAAUCCGCAGAUAUCCGAAUGAGGAAACUCACAUAAGGUAAACCUUAUGUAUCAUACAGUGAAUAAAUAGCUGUAUGAGGGGAACGAGGGGAACUGAAACAUCUAAGUACCCUUAGGAAGAGAAAAUAAAAAAUGAUUCCGUAAGUAGCGGCGAGCGAAAGCGGAAGAGCCCAAACCAAGUAGAAAUACUUGGGGUUGAGGACAUAUCAAAGAGACAGAAAACUGUAGCCGAAGAGAGCUGGAAAGCUCCUCCAAAGAAUGUGAUAGACACGUAAGCAAAACAGUUUGAAGCGAGGAUAUGAUCCAGAGUACCACGGGACACGAGGAAUCUUGUGGGAAGCAGGGAGGACCACCUCCCAAGGCUAAAUACUACCCAGUGACCGAUAGAGAAUAGUACCGUGAGGGAAAGGUGAAAAGAACCCCGGGAGGGGAGUGAAAAAGAACCUGAAACCCUGAGCCUAAAAACAGUGGAAGCACAAAAGUGUGACCGCGUACUUUUUGUAGAACGGGCCAACGAGUUACAAUAUGCAGCAAGGUUAAUAACCAAAGGUUAGGAGCCGAAGAGAAAUCGAGUCUGAAAAGGGCGAAAGUUGCAUGUUGUAGACCCGAAACCGGGUGACCUAUCCAUGUGCAGGUUGAAGCUAGAGUAAAAUCUGGUGGAGGACCGAACCCAUUAGCGUUUAAAAGCUACGGGAUGACGUGUGGAUAGCGGUGAAAUUCCAAUCGAACCCGGAGAUAGCUGGUUCUCCUCGAAAUAGCUUUAGGGCUAGCCUCAAGUAAGUAUAGUGGGGGUAGAGCACUGAAUGGUCUAGGGGCGUUAUACGUUACCAAAACCUAUCAAACUCCGAAUACCAUAUAUAUGUUGCUAGGGAGUCAGACUAUGUGAGAUAAGUUUCAUAGUCAAAAGGGAAACAGCCCAGAUCACCAACUAAGGUCCCAAAAUAUAGAUUAAGUGGAAAAGGAUGUAAAACUACACAGACAACCAGGAUGUUGGCUUAGAAGCAGCCAUUCAUUAAAAGAGUGCGUAAUAGCUCACUGGUCGAGUGGUUUUGCGCCGAAGAUGUCCGGGGCUAAAAUCUAUUACCGAAGUUGUGGGAUACCAAUAGGUAUCGGUAGAGGAGCAUUGUGUACGGAUAGAAGCACUACCGAAAGGAGUCGUGGACUGUACAGAAGAGAGAAUGUUGGCAUGAGUAGCGAAAGGUGAGUGAGAAUCUCACCCAUCGAAAGCCUAAGGAUUCCUGAGGAAGGCUCGUCCACUCAGGGUAAGUCGGGACCUAAGCCGAGGCCAAAAGGCGUAGGCGAUGGACAACUGGUUGAAAUUCCAGUACCACCUUUAAGCGUUUGAGAAAUGGGGUGACACAGGAGGGUAAGCUGGCGCACAGCUGGAAAAGUGCGUCUAAGUAAGUAGGGAGACGAUACAGGCAAAUCCGUAACGUCAAUCCUGAGAUACGAAUGGGAGCGAAAAUAAGUAGUGAAGCAGCUGAGCCCACACUGUCAAGAAAAGCCUCUAUCGAGCAAGAAGGUGCCCGUACCGUAAACCGACACAGGUAGGCAAGGAGAGAAUCCAAAGAUGAGCGGAAGAACUAUUGUUAAGGAACUAGGCAAAAUGACCCCGUAACUUCGGGAGAAGGGGUGCCCUUCAGAGUGAAGACAGAACUGUUGGAGCUUAGAAGGGCCACAGAAAACAGGCCCAAGCGACUGUUUACCAAAAACACAGGUAUCUGCUAAAUCGAAAGAUGAAGUAUAGGUGCUGACACCUGCCCGGUGCUGGAAGGUUAAGGGGAGAAGUCAUCGAAAGAGAAGCUUUGAACUUAAGCCCCAGUAAACGGCGGCCGUAACUAUAACGGUCCUAAGGUAGCGAAAUUCCUUGUCGGGUAAGUUCCGACCCGCACGAAAGGUGUAACGAUUUGGGCACUGUCUCAACAAUAGAUCCGGUGAAAUUGUAGUACUCGUGAAGAUGCGAGUUACCCGCGGCAGGACGGAAAGACCCCAUGGAGCUUUACUGCAGGCUGACAUUGGAAUUCGGUAGCAAUUGUACAGAAUAGGUGGGAGGCAGAGAAAUCGGUACGCCAGUAUCGGUGGAGCCAACGUUGGGAUACCACUCUAUUGUUACUGAAUUUCUAACAUGAUACCGUGAACCGGUAUAUGGACACUGUCAGUUGGGCAGUUUGACUGGGGCGGUCGCCUCCGAAAGAGUAACGGAGGCGCUCAAAGGUUCCCUCAGCACGGUCGGAAAUCGUGCGAAGAGUGUAAAGGCAGAAGGGAGCUUGACUGCGAGAGAGACAUCUCGAGCAGGAACGAAAGUUGGACUUAGUGAUCCGGUGGCACCGAGUGGAAAGGCCAUCGCUUAACGGAUAAAAGCUACCCUGGGGAUAACAGGCUUAUCUCCCCCAAGAGUCCACAUCGACGGGGAGGUUUGGCACCUCGAUGUCGGCUCGUCUCAUCCUGGGGCUGAAGCAGGUCCCAAGGGUUGGGCUGUUCGCCCAUUAAAGAGGCACGCGAGCUGGGUUCAGAACGUCGUGAGACAGUUCGGUCCCUAUCCGCCGUGGGCGCAGGAAAUUUGAAGGGAGCUGUUCCUAGUACGAGAGGACCGGAAUGGACAGACCGCCGGUGCAUCAGUUGUCACGCCAGUGGCAUAGCUGAGUAGCUGAGUCUGGAUUAGAUAAGCGCUGAAAGCAUCUAAGCGCGAAACUAGCCCUAAGAUAAGAUUUCCCAUCACGCAAGUGAGUAAGACCCCCGAUAUGUUAACGGGUUGAUAGGUUGCAUGUGUAAGUGCAGCAAUGCAUUCAGCUGAGCAAUACUAAUAGGUCGAGGUCUUGACCUC